UACGUAGGGUGCGAGCGUUGUCCGGAAUUAUUGGGCGUAAAGGGCUCGUAGGCGGUUUGUCGCGUCGGGAGUGAAAAUCCGGGGCUUAACUCUGGACUGGCUUUCGAUACGGGCAGACUAGAGGUAUGCAGGGGAGAACGGAAUUCCUGGUGUAGCGGUGAAAUGCGCAGAUAUCAGGAGGAACACCGGUGGCGAAGGCGGUUCUCUGGGCAUUACCUGACGCUGAGGAGCGAAAGUGUGGGGAGCGAACAGG
RNAcentral lists this ribosomal RNA (253 nucleotides) under uncultured bacterium. RNAcentral describes it as "partial 16S ribosomal RNA". It matches the Rfam family "Bacterial small subunit ribosomal RNA", at positions 524 to 776 of the family's 1533-position model. The record is from RNAcentral.